Molecule: long non-coding RNA, 2373 nt
Organism: Orcinus orca (killer whale)
Lineage: Eukaryota; Metazoa; Chordata; Mammalia; Artiodactyla; Delphinidae
Exons: 4
Source: RefSeq, a predicted model, not a curated record
CAGUCACCGAAAAUAGGGAAAGAUCAUAAACAGAAACGUGUACAACCAAGUCUUCUUUAGGCCUAAAUUAUCCAUCCUUUGAGGCAUUUUAUGAACCUAAAUAAUCACUGUCCUCUGAAUGCAUCCACUUAUAAAGAACAAAAAAGUUUAUAAUUUUAUGCCACAAUGAAUAUUUAAAGCUACUUUUGGGUUUAGAAUUAUUACAGCAACCUUCUGUACAGCAGAAGAGGAAAGUGUCAUGGCAACAUUACUUGUCACAAAAAAGCAGUCUGGGCUAAGAAGCCGACAAUGUCUCGCCCUAACAAGAGAACUAGCUACGUAAAUUACGCCAGGAAAUGGAAUGACAGAACAGAAAACAGCCAAACUGUCAGAUGCUGAAUAAACAGCAUCAAUGAAUUAUUUGAACUAGGAAGAGCUAACAGGUUCUUAAUGUUAUACCUCAAAAUAUUCUAAAAUAAUACCCAUUUGGCAAGUGAUGAGAUGUCUCUUUAGAAUGUUUAUGAUUUAAGAAUAAUCCGAUUUUCCACAACAUGGGAUGAUGGAAUACUAAACUUCUGGGGGGAAAAAAUUCUACUCAGAGUAUAACCAUAUCAUCUUUAAAACCUAAAAGUUUCAGGCCAGGUGUAGAGAAUUUUCUUAAGUGCUAUUAGAGGCAAAGGAAUAGUUGACUGAGUCUAUUCUACAUUUCUACAGUGAGUCAAGCUGUCAAUAAUAAUCAGAAUUAUUAAGUUAAGAUAAUCCUCCAUGAAAUUAACAGGCAAACAAUCAGAAGAGGGAUGUUUUUCCUUUUCUAGAAUUCUUAAUAAGAGAUAAAACCAGGAGUAAAAGAAGAGAUGUAAAUUCAACAAGCCAGAAGUGACCCUUGUAGGACCACAAAUUAAAGUUACUAUUGUACCUAACCAGGAGAAAUUAACCAACUUCGAGCAACAGAAACAAAUUACACGUGCUAAACAGCAGCACUCAUUAAGAAACCUGGAGUGGUACUUUUUAAGGUAUUUAUAUAGACGUUGCAUUAAGUUAGGCGCAGAUAAUGAACACCUUAGUCGUCUUCCUUUGCCGGUUUCUAUGCCAAGCCCUCUCGAAGCUGGGAUCCAAAAGGUAUACUCCAAGAAAGAAAGAAGCUCAUGUGGGAAAUGGUAUCCUCAUUCAGCUGUUCAGAGAACAGCUGACGCACAAGGAGCCUGGAAAAUAUCCCGUCGUUUACCUUACUAAGAGCGGUUAGGAAGGAAGAUGAUCGUCCACGUGCACUAUUGUUUCCAGGUGUGUUUAUUUAUAUUUAACUUACGCUUUGUUAUCAGUACCCUCAACCUCAGGCAAAUGGUGGGGAGGAGGGGUGGCAGCGCCGCUGGUGGCACCUGGGCGCAACACAAGUUUAAAAAUUAAAAACAAAAACCUUUUAUUUUUAAUUGCAGCGUACUCGGUGCCCUCACCUCUCCUCCACAUCUCUGCCAUCACCCACGCAGCUCCUCUCAGCGCCGCCUCGGGUCCCCAUGACAACCCCUCCCGAGGGGAAUGCUUCACCCCACCAUCAUGCUGCUUCUCCCUCAGUCUGACAAAUUUAGUUUGUGAAUCCUUUGGGCAAGGGCUAUAAUCUGAAUUCCAUGUUUUCUAUACUGACAGCCGCCCUUCUCUCAUGGAACCUGACACACAUUCUCCUGGGAGCUUGGUAACAAGACAACAGAAAGCCACCACACAGUGUUGCAAGCAAACUGUCCUUUCAUCCCUGACCACCACCAUUAUCCCUGGACCAAGCCUGGAUAUCUUGACAUUCUCCUACCUCGAAGCAUCCUCCCUGGUCCAGGGUUGUUUUCUGAGGAUGCAAGCUGGCCAUACCAGAGAGACGAACCACAUGAUUUGAGUCACAUGGUAUCAGUUGUCUGAGUUCAACCACAUAAGCAAGAAAUCAGUCAAUUAUGCCUGUGGAAUAAAACUCCAUUAAAACUCUGGACACAAAAGCUCAGCUGAUCUUCCCUGGUAAUACUCCCGGCAUAUUGACAAACACCAGUGCUGGGAGGUUAGUGGGUCAUUACUCCAUGGGAGAGGACAACAAAAGCUUUGUGUUUGGAGCUCUCCCAAACUGUGGCGUAUGUGCCUCUUCCUUUGGCUGAUUUUAAUGUGUCAUUUCCUGUAAUAAACCAGAAUCAUGAGUAUAAUAACUUUUGCCGAAAGGAGGCCCUCGAUAAACAUUUAUUAACAGCAUGGUAAGUCCCUACUACCUGCUCUUUCCCAAAAUUUAAUCACCCUACUCGGUGCAAAACAAAACAAACAGUGCUCAGAGGUUUAAAUCCAGCCUUAGCAAGGAGACUCCCUAUGUAUCAUCCUUUUUGUUACCAGUAUCAUUUGCCUGUGAAUGUCUUAGAACGAAACACUGAU